UCUUCAUCCUUGCAGCUACUUAGUGUAUGCACUGGACAACAGAACAGAGAGAGAUGUGGGGAGAACAAAAGAAGGAGGGCCAUGAUUGAGCACAUACUUAUGGUUUUGUACCCAAAAUAGUGAGUGAAUCAGAAGAAGAAAAAACCCAUUGGUUUGAGGGGCAUUCUUGAAGUAUUGGAAAGUCUGGUUUGGCUGGGGCACCCUUAUGCUGAAGUGUGCAACAGGACAGGGCAACUCUUGCUGUCCCUGGAAAACACAGUCCCACACUCCACAACCUUCAAGGUUCCUGAGGAUUUUGUAUGUAUUUAGAAUAAAGGAAAAUUUUUGGGAAGAAGCAACAGAGAGUGCAAGCAUAAUUUUUGUUUCUUUUCUAUGGCUGUGGCUGUCCCUGUCAGCCUCCCAUCAGAAACUGAUUGGUAUUUCCACCUCUACUCAGCACUGGUACAGCCCAUCUGCAGCACUGUGUCCAGUUCUGGGCUCACCAGUACAAGCCUGACAAGAGAAUACCAGAGUCCAGUGAAGGACCACAAAGGAUCUUUAUGGAGCUUCAUUUUUAUAUGAUUUUACAGGGCUUAGAGUAAUAGGCCCUGAGUUUGCUUAAUGACAACAGGAACUAUAAUAAUCCAAAUAAUAGAGCAAAAUACAGAAGAAAGAUUCCAUGGUGCCUUAAUCUGAGAGACACUUCUUUUAACCCUUUGGUAUUUCCUGAAAAAAAAAUCUAGCAGCACCUAGGGAAUCAUUGUUAUAGCCCUGAGAUUUUGUCAGAAGAUGCUUGGAGAAUAUGAAAGCUUCAUUUGAGAUUCAGUUUUCAGUAUCAUUCUUUCUGUGGAGAAAAGGUGCAAAACUUCUGCCUAUUGCCUGCAUUACUCCAGUGCACUCCUGCUGAAGCCCUGCUCCAGAACUCUGCUGGAGGAGACAGAAGGCAUGUAUGAUCUACUGCAUUAUUUUGCUGAAACACACUUUUAUUCAAGAAAUGUUCACCUUGUGUUUACACAUCAGUAACAUUCUCGGUAAAUUGUUGGAAUUUUAUUUUUGCUAUUACUUGUUCCUGUUGGUACUCUAGUGUAGACAUAGGGGUCUUCAAACUGGAUGCCAACUGGUGCUUGUCUGUUCUCUAGCUUUGUACUUUGCUAAAAGUUGAAAAUGGUGUUGUUUCACACCAGACAUUAAUGAUGAGACAUGAUUUGUUGAUGUUGUAAUACUUUUAUGUAGCUAAGAUCUUGGACUGCAUAGUCAAAUCACCUGAAGAAAAAAGAUUUCUACUUUUUAUUACGGAAUAAUUUCUUUCCUGUGAUAUAUUACCUGAUAUACAGCUGUAAUGCAUUCACCUGACAGUUCUGAUAUGUAAUACAUUUUAAUAAAAUAUCUUUAACCAUCUUGAAAUUGCCAUAUAAAGUAUAUUAUACUGUGA
Corvus hawaiiensis (hawaiian crow) is the source of this 1411-nucleotide long non-coding RNA. RefSeq lists it as uncharacterized. The transcript is spliced from 5 exons. NCBI's taxonomy places the organism in Eukaryota, Metazoa, Chordata, Aves, Passeriformes, Corvidae. The record is from RefSeq and is a predicted model, not a curated record.